RNAcentral lists this ribosomal RNA (456 nucleotides) under uncultured bacterium. Its description in RNAcentral is "bacterial SSU rRNA". It matches the Rfam family "Bacterial small subunit ribosomal RNA", at positions 340 to 786 of the family's 1533-position model. The record is from RNAcentral.
UACGGGAGCAGCAGUGGGGAAUAUUGCACAAUGGGCGAAAGCCUGAUGCAGCUAUGCCGCGUGUAUGAAGAAGGCCUUAGGGUUGUAAAGUACUUUCAUCGGGGAGGAAAAACAAAACUAAUAAUUUUAUUUCUUGACGUUACCCGAAAAAGAAGCACCGGCUAACUCCGUGCCAGCAGCCGCGGUAAUACGGAGGGUGCUAGCGUUAAUCAGAAUUACUGGGCGUAAAGAGCACGUAGGUGGUUUUUUUAAGUCAGAUGUGAAAUCCCUGGGCUUAACCUAGGAACUGCAUUUUGAAACUGAAAUACUAGAGUAUCGUAGAGGGAGGUAGAAUUCUAGGUGUAGCGGUGAAAUGCGUAGAUAUCUGGAGGAAUACCUGUGGCGAAAGCGGCCUCCUAAACGAAUACUGACACUGAGGGUGCGAAAAGCGUGGGGAGCAAACAGGGAUUAGAUACC